AACGAACGCUGGCGGCAUGCCUAACACAUGCAAGUCGAACGAGACCUUCGGGUCUAGUGGCGCACGGGUGCGUAACGCGUGGGAACCUGCCCUUAGGUUCGGAAUAACUCCCCGAAAGGGGUGCUAAUACCGGUUAAUGUCUUCGGACCAAAGAUUUAUCGCCUUUGGAUGGGCCCGCGUUGGAUUAGCUAGUUGGUAGGGUAAAAGCCUACCAAGGCGGUGAUCCGUAGCUGGUCUGAGAGGAUGAUCAGCCACACUGGGACUGAGACACGGCCCAGACGCCUGCGAGAGGCGGCAAUGGUGAAUAUAGGGCAGGGGGCGAAAGCCUGAACCAGCAAGGCCGCGUGAGUGAUGAAGGGCUUAGGGUUGUAAAGCUCUUUUACCCGGGAUGAUAAGGACAGAACCGGUAGAGUAGGCCCCGGCAAACACCGU
RNAcentral lists this ribosomal RNA (432 nucleotides) under uncultured bacterium. RNAcentral's name for it is "partial 16S ribosomal RNA". It matches the Rfam family "Bacterial small subunit ribosomal RNA", at positions 29 to 506 of the family's 1533-position model. The record is from RNAcentral.